UUAAAUUUGCAAAAACCUGGGUAGGAGUUUUGUUGCCAAAUAAGCCAGACCACUCCUAGAAAUUAGUCUUUAGAGUCUCAUGGGCGAUUGUAUGUAACGUUACAAUCUUCUCUACUUCUUGUGCAUAACAAUAAUGUGUUUCAUGCGAACUAUUUUGUUUAGCGUUUUCACGAGGGAUUCCUACAUUCUAACCUUAAUGUUCUUUAAACAUUUUUUUACAUCUAUCCCACAAUUCUAAAAGUCAAAAUUUUCUUUUAUAUUUCUGGAAACUUUCCUCACUUCAAAAGGUCUACUACUAUUAUUUCAGGUGCUUCAUCUGCAUAAACGCUUUCAUAUAACGAACAAAAUGGUUCCUUUCGAUGAAGUUCUAGCAAUGUAAGAAGCUUUAUGGUUAUUGAAUGAUGAGAGGUACUUAAGUUGAGUUAUUCGAUGAAAAGUAAAAUACGAACUGGGUAAGAUAUCAAAGGAAUCACCACCAGCAAUUGAAGAGUGUAUGGGGUCUAGUUGGAGAUGAUAUAGAACAAGAGUCGUGAAAGAAGAAGGGGAAAGGGAAGAUAGAAAUUAAUAGUAUUCUCUUGGAGCCAAUAUAGGGCAAGAGGAAGUAAUAUGCUGAAUAUAUUAUUAUUGGUGUGUCUCAGUACAGUGCAUCCCAUUUUGGGUGAGACAGCCAGGUUUCUCGCUUGUUAUUUAAGAUAGAGCCUUGCGG
This is a long non-coding RNA of Harmonia axyridis, 706 nucleotides long. RefSeq lists it as uncharacterized. Lineage: Eukaryota; Metazoa; Arthropoda; Insecta; Coleoptera; Coccinellidae. The transcript has 3 exons. The record is from RefSeq and is a predicted model, not a curated record.